CCUACGGGAGGCAGCAGUGGGGAAUAUUGCACAAUGGGGGAAACCCUGAUGCAGCGACGCCGCGUGAGUGAAGAAGUAUUUCGGUAUGUAAAGCUCUAUCAGCAGGGAAGAAAAUGACGGUACCUGACUAAGAAGCCCCGGCUAACUACGUGCCAGCAGCCGCGGUAAUACGUAGGGGGCAAGCGUUAUCCGGAUUUACUGGGUGGAAAGGGAGCGUAGACGGCAGCGCAAGUCUGGAGGGAAAUGCCGGGGCCUAACCCCGGAACUGCUCUGGAAACUGUGAAGCUGGAGUGCAGGAGAGGUGAGCGGAAUUCCUGGUGUAGCGGUGAAAUGCGUAGAUAUCAGGAGGAACACCGGCGGCGAAGGCGGCUUACUGGACUGUAACUGACGUUGAGGCUCGAAGGCGUGGGGAGCAAACAGGAUUAGAUACCCGGGUAGUC
This 440-nucleotide ribosomal RNA is filed under the name uncultured bacterium. Its description in RNAcentral is "partial 16S ribosomal RNA". It matches the Rfam family "Bacterial small subunit ribosomal RNA", at positions 338 to 795 of the family's 1533-position model. The record is from RNAcentral.